Molecule: ribosomal RNA, 483 nt
Filed under: uncultured bacterium
Lineage: Bacteria
Description: partial 16S ribosomal RNA
Rfam family: Bacterial small subunit ribosomal RNA
Source: RNAcentral
GACGAACGCUGGCGGCGUGCUUAACACAUGCCAGUCGAACGCUGAAGCUCAGCUUUUGUUGGGUGGAUGAGUGGCGAACGGGUGAGUAACACGUGAGUAACCUGCCUCCUUCUUUGGGAUAACGCCCGGAAACGGGUGCUAAUACUGGAUAUUCACUGGUCUUCGCAUGGGGGUUGGUGGAAAGGGUUUUUCUGGUGGGGGAUGGGCUCGCGGCCUAUCAGCUUGUUGGUGGGGUGAUGGCCUACCAAGGCUUUGACGGGUAGCCGGCCUGAGAGGGUGACCGGUCACAUUGGGACUGAGAUACGGCCCAGACUACUACGGGAGGCAGCAGUGGGGAAUAUUGCACAAUGGGCGCAAGCCUGAUGCAGCGACACCGCGUGAGGGAUGGAGGCCUUCGGGUUGUGAACCUCUUUCGCUCAUGGUCAAGCCGCAACAAUGGUUGUGGUGAGGGUAGUGGGUAAAGAAGCGCCGGCUAACUACGUG